Molecule: ribosomal RNA, 253 nt
Filed under: Mediterraneibacter faecis JCM 15917
Lineage: Bacteria; Bacillati; Bacillota; Clostridia; Lachnospirales; Lachnospiraceae
Also listed under: 1 other name
Description: [Ruminococcus] faecis JCM 15917 partial 16S ribosomal RNA
Rfam family: Bacterial small subunit ribosomal RNA
Source: RNAcentral
UACGUAUGGUGCAAGCGUUAUCCGGAUUUACUGGGUGUAAAGGGAGCGUAGACGGAGUGGCAAGUCUGAUGUGAAAACCCGGGGCUCAACCCCGGGACUGCAUUGGAAACUGUCAAUCUGGAGUACCGGAGAGGUAAGCGGAAUUCCUAGUGUAGCGGUGAAAUGCGUAGAUAUUAGGAGGAACACCAGUGGCGAAGGCGGCUUACUGGACGGUAACUGACGUUGAGGCUCGAAAGCGUGGGGAGCAAACAGG